This 253-nucleotide ribosomal RNA is filed under the name uncultured bacterium. RNAcentral's name for it is "partial 16S ribosomal RNA". It matches the Rfam family "Bacterial small subunit ribosomal RNA", at positions 524 to 776 of the family's 1533-position model. The record is from RNAcentral.
UACGGAGGAUCCAAGCGUUAUCCGGAUUUAUUGGGUUUAAAGGGUGCGUAGGCGGCUUAUUAAGUCAGGGUGAAAGACGGUAGCUCAACUAUCGCAGUGCCUUUGAUACUGAUGGGCUUGAAUGAACUAGAGGUAGGCGGAAUGAGACAAGUAGCGGUGAAAUGCAUAGAUAUGUCUCAGAACACCGAUUGCGAAAGGCAGCUUACUAUGGUUUUAUUGACGCUGAGGCACGAAAGCGUGGGGAUCAAACAGG